GACGAACGCUGGCGGCGUGCCUAAUACAUGCAAGUCGAACGCAGUGGGGACGGGUGAGUAACACGUGGGUAACCUCCCAUCAGAGGGGAUAACACUUGGAAACAGGUGCUAAACCGAUACUGAUGGAUGGACCCGCGGUGCAUUAGCUAGUUGGUGAGGUAACGGCUCACCAAGGCCACGAUGCAUAGCCGACCGGGGAGGGGGUUGGGCCACACUGGGCAUGAGACAGGGCCCAUACUCCAAGGGGAGGAAGGAGUAGGGAUUCUUCGGCAAUGGACGAAAGUCUGACCGGGCAACGCCGCGUGAGUGAAGAAGGUUUUCGGAUCGUAAAACUCUGUUGUUAGAGAAGCGGUAUCUAACCAGAAAGCCACGGCUAACUACGUGCCAGCAGCCGCGGUAAUC
RNAcentral lists this ribosomal RNA (402 nucleotides) under uncultured bacterium. RNAcentral's name for it is "partial 16S ribosomal RNA". It matches the Rfam family "Bacterial small subunit ribosomal RNA", at positions 28 to 525 of the family's 1533-position model. The record is from RNAcentral.